This 104-nucleotide ribosomal RNA is filed under the name uncultured bacterium. RNAcentral describes it as "partial 16S ribosomal RNA". It matches the Rfam family "Bacterial small subunit ribosomal RNA", at positions 1379 to 1482 of the family's 1533-position model. The record is from RNAcentral.
CCUUGUACACACUGCCCGUCACACCACGAGAGUUUGUAACACCCGAAGUCGGUGGAGUAACCGUAAGGAGCUAGUCGCCUAAGGUGGGACAGAUGAUUGGGGUG